ACGGAGGAUCCGAGCGUUAUCCGGAUUUAUUGGGUUUAAAGGGAGCGUAGGCGGAUUAUUAAGUCAGUUGUGAAAGUUUGCGGCUCAACCGUAAAAUUGCAGUUGAUACUGGUAGUCUUGAGUGCAGCAGAGGUAGGCGGAAUUCGUGGUGUAGCGGUGAAAUGCUUAGAUAUCACGAAGAACUCCGAUUGCGAAGGCAGCUUACUGGACUGUAACUGACGCUGAUGCUCGAAAGUGUGGGUAUCAAACAG
This 251-nucleotide ribosomal RNA is filed under the name uncultured bacterium. RNAcentral's name for it is "partial 16S ribosomal RNA". It matches the Rfam family "Bacterial small subunit ribosomal RNA", at positions 525 to 775 of the family's 1533-position model. The record is from RNAcentral.